AUUGAACGCUGGCGGCAUGCCUUACACAUGCAAGUCGAACGGUAACAGGUCUUCGGAUGCUGACGAGUGGCGAACGGGUGAGUAAUACAUCGGAACGUGCCUAGUAGUGGGGGAUAACUACUCGAAAGAGUGGCUAAUACCGCAUGGGAUCUACGGAUGAAAGCAGGGGAUCGCAAGACCUUGUGCUACUAGAGCGGCCGAUGGCAGAUUAGGUAGUUGGUGGGAUAAAAGCUUACCAAGCCGACGAUCUGUAGCUGGUCUGAGAGGACGAUCAGCCACACUGGGACUGAGACACGGCCCAGACUCCUACGGGAGGCAGCAGUGGGGAAUUUUGGGCAAUGGGCGAAAGCCUGAUCCAGCAAUGCCGCGUGCAGGAUGAAGGCCUUCGGGUUGUAAACUGCUUUUGUACGGAACGAAAAGCCCUGGGUUAAUACCCUGGGGUCAUGACGGUACCGUAAGAAUAAGCACCGGCUAACUACGUGCCAGCAGUCGCCGUAA
This 498-nucleotide ribosomal RNA is filed under the name uncultured bacterium. Its description in RNAcentral is "partial 16S ribosomal RNA". It matches the Rfam family "Bacterial small subunit ribosomal RNA", at positions 30 to 523 of the family's 1533-position model. The record is from RNAcentral.